GAUGAACGCUGGCGGCGUGCCUAAUACAUGCAAGUCGAGCGAACAGACGAGGAGCUUGCUGUUCUGACGUUAGCGGCGGACGGGUGAGUAACACGUGGAUAACCUACCUAUAAGACUGGGAUAACUUCGGGAAACCGGAGCUAAUACCGGAUAAUAUUUUGAACCGCAUGGUUCAAUAGUGAAAGACGGUCUUGCUGUCACUUAUAGAUGGAUCCGCGCUGCAUUAGCUAGUUGGUAAGGUAACGGCUUACCAAGGCAACGAUGCAUAGCCGACCUGAGAGGGUGAUCGGCCACCCUGGAACUGAGACGCGGUCCAGACUCCUACGGGAGGCAGCAGUAGGGAAUCUUCCGCAAUGGGCGAAAGCCUUACGGAGCAACGCCGCGUGAGUGAUGAAGGUCUUCGGAUCGUAAAACUCUGUUAUUAGGGAAGAACAUAUGUGUAAGUAACUGUGCACUUCUUGACGGUACCUAAUCAGAAAGCCACGGCUAACUACGUG
This 497-nucleotide ribosomal RNA is filed under the name uncultured bacterium. RNAcentral describes it as "partial 16S ribosomal RNA". It matches the Rfam family "Bacterial small subunit ribosomal RNA", at positions 28 to 507 of the family's 1533-position model. The record is from RNAcentral.